RNAcentral lists this ribosomal RNA (492 nucleotides) under uncultured bacterium. RNAcentral describes it as "partial 16S ribosomal RNA". It matches the Rfam family "Bacterial small subunit ribosomal RNA", at positions 29 to 507 of the family's 1533-position model. The record is from RNAcentral.
AGUGAACGCUGGCGGUAGGCCUAACACAUGCAAGUCGAACGGCAGCACAGUAAGAGCUUGCUCUUACGGGUGGCGAGUGGCGGACGGGUGAGGAAUACAUCGGAAUCUACUUUUUCGUGGGGGAUAACGUAGGGAAACUUACGCUAAUACCGCAUACGACCUACGGGUGAAAGCAGGGGAUCUUCUGACCUUGCGCGAUUGAAUGAGCCGAUGUCGGAUUAGCUAGUUGGCGGGGUAAAGGCCCACCAAGGCGACGAUCCGUAGCUGGUCUGAGAGGGUGAUCAGCCACACUGGAACUGAGACACGGUCCAGACUCCUACAGGAGGACGCAGUCGGGAAUAUUGGACAAAGGACGCAAGCCUAAUCCAGCCAUACCGCGUGAGUGAAGAAGGCCUUCGGGUUGUAAAGCCAUUUUGUUGGGAAAGAAAAGCAGCACGUUAAUCCCCCGCUGUUCUGACGGUACCCAAAGAAUAAGCACCGGCUAACUUCGUG